This 465-nucleotide ribosomal RNA is filed under the name Vreelandella stevensii. Its description in RNAcentral is "partial 16S ribosomal RNA". It matches the Rfam family "Bacterial small subunit ribosomal RNA", at positions 338 to 795 of the family's 1533-position model. The record is from RNAcentral. Lineage: Bacteria; Pseudomonadati; Pseudomonadota; Gammaproteobacteria; Oceanospirillales; Halomonadaceae.
CCUACGGGAGGCUGCAGUGGGGAAUAUUGGACAAUGGGCGAAAGCCUGAUCCAGCCAUGCCGCGUGUGUGAAGAAGGCCUUCGGGUUGUAAAGCACUUUCAGUGGGGAAGAAAGCCUUGGGGCUAAUACCCUCGAGGAAGGACAUCACCCACAGAAGAAGCACCGGCUAACUCCGUGCCAGCAGCCGCGGUAAUACGGAGGGUGCGAGCGUUAAUCGGAAUUACUGGGCGUAAAGCGCGCGUAGGCGGUCUGAUAAGCCGGUUGUGAAAGCCCCGGGCUCAACCUGGGAACGGCAUCCGGAACUGUCAGGCUAGAGUGCAGGAAAGGAAGGUAGAAUUCCCGGUGUAGCGGUGAAAUGCGUAGAGAUCGGGAGGAAUACCAGUGGCGAAGGCGGCCUUCUGGACUGACACUGACGCUGAGGUGCGAAAGCGUGGGUAGCAAACAGGAUUAGAUACCCCAGUAGUC